UGGCUUCAAUAAGCUCUGUGUUGC
RNAcentral lists this non-coding RNA (24 nucleotides) under Rattus norvegicus (Norway rat). The record is from RNAcentral. Lineage: Eukaryota; Metazoa; Chordata; Mammalia; Rodentia; Muridae.